UACGUAGGGACCAAGCGUUGUUCGGAUUUACUGGGCGUAAAGGGCGCGUAGGCGGCGUGUUAAGUCACUUGUGAAAUCUCUAAGCCUAACUUAGAACGGUCAAGUGAUACUGAUGUGCUAGAGUGCAGAAGGGGCAACCGGAAUUCUUGGUGUAGCGGUGAAAUGCGUAGAUAUCAAGAGGAACACCUGAGGUGAAGACGGGUUGCUGGGCUGACACUGACGCUGAGGCGCGAAAGCUAGGGUAGCAAACGGG
RNAcentral lists this ribosomal RNA (253 nucleotides) under uncultured bacterium. RNAcentral's name for it is "partial 16S ribosomal RNA". It matches the Rfam family "Bacterial small subunit ribosomal RNA", at positions 524 to 776 of the family's 1533-position model. The record is from RNAcentral.